Long non-coding RNA from Erigeron canadensis, 492 nucleotides. RefSeq lists it as uncharacterized. NCBI's taxonomy places the organism in Eukaryota, Viridiplantae, Streptophyta, Magnoliopsida, Asterales, Asteraceae. The transcript has 2 exons. The record is from RefSeq and is a predicted model, not a curated record.
GAACGACGACUUUGUUUUUAGCGAUCGAGUAACAAGUGGGUAGUAUGCAGACUCGGAUAUCCACGAUCCAUAUUCCCUCUUACCGCCUUUAGAGGAAACCCUUGAAGACACUAGUCUACCACUCUACCUUAUAAUUUUGGAUCACCUUAAUUAUAUUAUAUUUCUAACUCAUAGUCUCAAGCCAGGUUUUGCAAUUUAAGUACAGGAUAUACUUUUAUACAAGACAUAUAAAGGAGAUUGGUAUUGGUAUGGAAUGGUGCUUGCCUUCAUGUGGAAGUAGAAGUGAAUCUGUUUCUUUGUGAUCAGUAUUAUUAUUAAUGGAGGGAAAUCAUCUCUUUAUUUUGCUCUUUAAAUUAGCAGCUUUGCUUUUUGCUUUUUACUUUACUUACUAGUGUGAUAUGAGUAUAUGCUAAUGCUUGCAUGAUAAGUAUAUAUGUAUAUUUUUGCUGUAAACCAGUAAAGUUAGAAUAAGUGUUAACACUUCUGUUUUUA